Molecule: ribosomal RNA, 253 nt
Filed under: uncultured bacterium
Lineage: Bacteria
Description: partial 16S ribosomal RNA
Rfam family: Bacterial small subunit ribosomal RNA
Source: RNAcentral
UACGGAGGGAGCAAGCGUUGUUCGGAUUUACUGGGCGUAAAGGGCGCGUAGGCGGCUUAACAAGUCACUUGUGAAAUCUCCGGGCUUAACCCGGAGCGGCCAAGUGAUACUGUUGUGCUAGAGUGCGGAAGGGGCUACUGGAAUUCUCGGUGUAGCGGUGAAAUGCGUAGAUAUCGAGAGGAACACCUGCGGCGAAGGCGGGUAGCUGGGCCGACACUGACGCUGAGGCGCGAAAGCCAGGGGAGCGAACGGG